Molecule: ribosomal RNA, 492 nt
Filed under: uncultured bacterium
Lineage: Bacteria
Description: partial 16S ribosomal RNA
Rfam family: Bacterial small subunit ribosomal RNA
Source: RNAcentral
GAUGAACGCUAGCUACAGGCUUAACACAUGCAAGUCGAGGGGAAACGACAUCGAAAGCUUGCUUUUGAUGGGCGUCGACCGGCGCACGGGUGAGUAACGCGUAUCCAACCUGCCCAUCACUUGGGGAUAACCUUGCGAAAGUAAGACUAAUACCCAAUGAUAUCUCUAGAAGACAUCUGAAAGAGAUUAAAGAUUUAUCGGUGAUGGAUGGGGAUGCGUCUGAUUAGCUUGUUGGCGGGGUAACGGCCCACCAAGGCAACGAUCAGUAGGGGUUCUGAGAGGAAGGUCCCCCACAGUGGAACUGAGACUCGGUCCAAACCCCUACGGGAGGCAGCAGUGAGGAAUAUUGGGCAAUGGGCGAGAGCCUGAACCAGCCAAGUAGCGUGCAGGAAGACGGCCCUAUGGGUUGUAAACUGCUUUUAUAAGGGAAUAAAGUGAGAGUCGUGACUCUUUUUGUAUGUACCUUAUGAAUAAGGACCGGCUAAUUCCGUG